UAGGGUUUGAUCAUGGCUCAGAACGUACGCUGGCGGCACGCCUAACACAUGCAAGUCGAACGAAGUAGCAAUACUUAGUGGCAGACGGGUGAGUAACAUGUAGGUAUCUGCCCUUUGGCCUGGAAUAACACGAGGAAACUUGUGCUAAUACCGGAUAAGUCUUUACGGAGAAAGCUUUAUGCACCAUUGGAUGAGCCUGCACUUGAUUAGUUUGUUGGUGGGGUAAUGGCCUACCAAGACUGUGAUCAAUAGCUGAUUUGAGAGGAUGAUCAGCCACAUUGGGACUGAGACACGGCCCAAACUCCUACGGGAGGCAGCAGUGGGGAAUCUUGCACAAUGGAGGAAACUCUGAUGCAGCGAUGCCGCGUGAGUGAAGAAGGCCCUUGGGUUGUAAAGCUCUUUCGUCGGGGAAGAAAAUGACUGUACCCGAAUAAGAAGGUCCGGCUAACUUCGUGCCAGCAGCCGCGGUAAUACGAAGGGACCUAGCGUAGUUCGGAAUUACUGGGCUUAAAGAGUUCGUAGGUGGUUGAAAAAGUUAGUGGUGAAAUCCCAGAGCUUAACUCUGGAACUGCCAUUAAAACUUUUCAGCUAGAGUAUGAUAGAGGAAAGCAGAAUUUCUAGUGUAGAGGUGAAAUUCGUAGAUAUUAGAAAGAAUACCAAUUGCGAAGGCAGCUUUCUGGAUCAUUACUGACACUGAGGAACGAAAGCAUGGGUAGCGAAGAGGAUUAGGUACCCUCGUAGUCCAUGCCGUAAACGAUGUGUGUUAGACGUUGGAAAUUUAUUUUCAGUGUCGCAGGGAAACCGAUAAACACACCGCCUGGGGAGUACGACCGCAAGGUUGAAACUCAAAUGAAUUGACGGGGACCCGCACAAGUAGUGGAGCAUGUGGUUUAAUUCGAAGAUACGCGCAGAACCUUACCAACACUUGACAUGUUCGUCGCGACUCUGAGAGAUCAGAGUUUUCGGUUCGGCCGGACGAAACACAGGUGCUGCAUGGCUGUCGUCAGCUCGUGUCGUGAGAUGUUGGGUUAAGUCCCGCAACGAGCGCAACCCUCACUUUUAGUUGCCAUCAUUAAGUUGGGCACUCUGAAAGAACUGCCAGUGAUAAGCUGGAGGAAGGUGGGGAUGACGUCAAGUCCUCAUGGCCCUUACGUGUUGGGCUACACACGUGCUACAAUGGUAUCUACAACAGGAAGCAAGACUGCGAAGUUAAGCAAAUCCCUAAAAGAUACCUCAGUUCGGAUUGCACUCUGCAACUCGAGUGCAUGAAGCUGGAAUUACUAGUAAUCGUGGAUCAGCGUGCCACGGUGAAUGCGUUCCCGGGUCUUGUACGCACCGCCCGUCACACCAUGGGAGUUGGUUCUACCUUAAGGCAAGGUUUCAAACCCUUGACCACGGUAUAGUCAGCGACUGGGGUGAAGUCGUAACAAGGUAGCC
RNAcentral lists this ribosomal RNA (1437 nucleotides) under uncultured bacterium. Its description in RNAcentral is "bacterial SSU rRNA". It matches the Rfam family "Bacterial small subunit ribosomal RNA". The record is from RNAcentral.